AGAGAGAGACAUGCGCGCAUAUCAAUAAGCGGAGGAAAAGAAACUAACUAGGAUUCCCUCAGUAACGGCGAGUGAAGCGGGAAGAGCUCAAAUUUGAAAUCUUCAAGGUUCUACCUUGACGAAUUGUAGUUUAAAGAAGUGUUUUCUGUUGGAGUUUCGGCUAAAAGUUCUUUGGAAUAGGACAUCAUAGAGGGUGAGAAUCCCGUAUUUGGUCAUUCCUCCUAGCUGUUGUGAUACACUUUCAACGAGUCGGAUUGUUUGGGAAUGCAGUCCAAGAUGGGUGGUAAAUUUCAUCUAAAGCUAAAUAUUGGCGAGAGACCGAUAGCGAACAAGUACCGUGAGGGAAAGAUGAAAAGAACUUUGAAAAGAGAGUUAAACAGGUACGUGAAAUUGUCAAAAGGGAAGCGUUUGACACCAGUGUUGUUUUUCCGAAAAUCAAUUACGAAUGUUUUAUUUUUGAGGAGUUAUGACUUCAUCGGCUUGCUCCUUUCUUUACGAAACUUUCUUAAUGCACUUUUCGGUUAACAAGUCAACAUCAAUUUCUUUUGUUGUAAAAGGGUAUGAGGAAGGUGGCUUUCUUUUCGGAGAAAGUGUUUAUAGCCUUGUGCCUCUGCAAUCGGAGAGAUUGAGGUCUGCAGGCGUAGAUCCUUCGGGGUUAGAUACGUUUGUGCUAAGUUAUAGCUUUUCAUAGACAACUUGUUGACUAGUGUUUAGUCUUGUAGCUUACUCGCUGAUGCUAUUUUACCUACGCUUAGGAUGUUGAUAGUCACAGCGUGUAC
Molecule: ribosomal RNA, 779 nt
Filed under: uncultured Neocallimastigales
Lineage: Eukaryota; Fungi; Neocallimastigomycota; Neocallimastigomycetes; Neocallimastigales
Description: partial large subunit ribosomal RNA
Rfam family: Eukaryotic large subunit ribosomal RNA
Source: RNAcentral